CUGUGAGGGUCACAUGCUACCUGCAAUUCAAAAUAUGCUAGGAAGGGAAAAAACCCUUUGUGUCUGUGGAAAAGCUGAAUAAGAAGAUGGAAAUUAUCAGCAGAGAGAGCUGUAAAUGAAAUAAUACGAAAUGACCUCUCCAGCACGAGCACCCACUCCUAGUUGCCACAUUGGAGCACUCAGUUCAGCGGGGGUAUGCUGACUUCAGCAGACAAAGACUUCUGAAUAAAUAAACUGAACGCACACCUGGUACCACUCAGGACCUCCAACUGACUGAAUGCCAGGAGCUGAACAUUAAUAUGUGCAAAGAUUGGCUCUCCAACAAGAAGGAAAGCAGGGAGGAAGGGAGAUCAGUGUGUCUCCUGGAGAAGUCAUCUCAUGACAACAGAAGGGAGGUGGCUGGGCUGAGCACGGGAGACCCACCGUGCAGGGGCCUUUCAUGGGAACGGCCCACACGCAGUUUGACCCCACGCCCAGCCCUUCUGGCACCCCUGGGGUUCAAUACUGGAAGUGCCUUAUUUAACUAGACUAUCAGGGUAUCAUAGAAUUGAGCAUUGAAUUUGCUACUGUAGGAGUAUUGGUAGGAGCAGAAACUGCAAACACAUUUCAUUGUGAGGUUUUACCCUUUGUAUGAAUGAAGAGAACACUGGCAGGCUGUGAGAGGACCCUAAUAUGAGUCUCCUACGUUUGGAACCUGGGCUGUCACGUACAAGCCUGCUGCCUUACGCAGUGCGUUUUAGAAUCUUCCAGUCUGUCAUCUCAGCUCUUUUGUAACACGCUUCCCUUGUCUGCGCGGUUGAAACCGUAGGCUUGUUCAUGGUCGCAUGCUCGCAUCUUUGUUUUUAAUCUGGCUUCGAACAUGGCACAACUAAGUUGAAUAGCACAUCAAUAGGUUACUGGACAAAAGCAGAAAAACCUGUUACAGGGUAGACUGCAUUUGCAUGUGUGUACAUAUCUGGGCAUCUAUUUAUGUAUAAAUAAUAACAGAGCCGACGUGUCCUCGCCCGGGAGGGCUUCCCUGUCAGCAAUAACCGGCAUCCGUUUUGGAACCUGCGUCUGGGGCUCCAGGCGCUGCUCUUGCUGGCGUCCAUCGCCGCAUCGGACGGCCGUGCGUUUUCUCAUCUCGCGCAGUUCGAGGAGGACCCUAGAAAGCCAGGAGCUGUGAUUCACAGUAGCUGUAGGUUACCAGACGGCAACAUUAGAAAGUGAUUGUAAAUAACGUGCAACAUAAGUGUAAUAUAUUUGUUCAGUUAUAAGAUGAUUGUUUCACAGAAGCCUUACCACUCUCUGCUUCAUCUAAGGAAACCAAAAACGCCGCUUUAAUGCUCAGCCCUGCGUCAUGUGUUUUUAGAUGAGUUACUGUUAACAGGUAGGUUCGUGUACGCUUUGCUGGGCACUUUGUACAAUUAAUUGCUUAUUACGUAUGAUUACUCGCAGCGAUCUAUUGUUCAUAUAACCAAAAAGCAUGGUUUAUUCAUUAAAACACAGUUGACCUGAACUCGUGCCUUAGGAAUUAAUGCCCCCUUAUGGAACCUGCCUGAAUUGCACCUGCGGGUGGAGGCUCCGGCUGUGAAGUCACUGAACAGAACGUCACUGAUGGAGAAAGGGCUCCUGCGGAAGGAACGGCCUGUACCGUGCGCUCCGGCACAGUCG
RNAcentral lists this small RNA (1653 nucleotides) under Pongo abelii (Sumatran orangutan). Its description in RNAcentral is "processed transcript". Lineage: Eukaryota; Metazoa; Chordata; Mammalia; Primates; Hominidae. The record is from RNAcentral.